CGGAGUCUCCCUCUGUCGCCCAGGCUGGAGUGCAGUGGCGCGAUCUCGGCUCACGGCAAGCUCCGCCUCCCGGGUUCACGCCAUUUUCCUGCCUCAGCCUCCUGAGUAGCUGGAACUACAGGCGCCGCGCCACCACUCCCGGCUAAUUUUUUUAUUUUAUUUUAUUUUUUAUUUUUAGUAGAGACGGGGUUUCACCGUAGCCAGAAUGGUCUUGAUCUCCUGACCUCGUCAUCCGCCCGCCUCGGCCUCCCAAAGUGCUGGGCUUACAGGCGUGAGACACUGCGCCCGGCCCAUACUACUACUUUUUUGGACACACAUGACAUUUGGUGCCAAAACCUGGACAGGAAGACUCCUUCAGGAGACUGGUACCCUGUCCUCGUCAUCACUCCGUGAGGCAAUCCACCUAUGACCUUGGGUCCUCAGACCCACCAGCCCAAGGAACAUCUCACCAAUUUCAUAUCGGGUAAGCAGUCUUUUCACUUUCUUCUCCAGCCUCUCUUGCUACCCUUCAAUCUCCCUGUCCUUCCAAUUCCAGUUCUUUUUCCUCUCUAGUAGAGACAAAGGAGACACUUUGUAUCCGUGGACCCAAAACUCCGGCGCCAGUCAUGGACUCAGGAAGACAGUCUUCCCUUGGUGUUUAAUCACUGCAGGGAUGCCUGCCUGAUUAUUCACCCACACUCCACUGGUGUCUGAUCACUGUGGGGACACCUGCCUUGGUCAUUCACCCACAUUCCCUUGGUGGCA
RNAcentral lists this long non-coding RNA (744 nucleotides) under Homo sapiens (human). RNAcentral's name for it is "HSALNT0044745". Lineage: Eukaryota; Metazoa; Chordata; Mammalia; Primates; Hominidae. The record is from RNAcentral.